RNAcentral lists this ribosomal RNA (465 nucleotides) under Vreelandella stevensii. Its description in RNAcentral is "partial 16S ribosomal RNA". It matches the Rfam family "Bacterial small subunit ribosomal RNA", at positions 338 to 795 of the family's 1533-position model. Lineage: Bacteria; Pseudomonadati; Pseudomonadota; Gammaproteobacteria; Oceanospirillales; Halomonadaceae. The record is from RNAcentral.
CCUACGGGAGGCUGCAGUGGGGAAUAUUGGACAAUGGGCGAAAGCCUGAUCCAGCCAUGCCGCGUGUGUGAAGAAGGCCUUCGGGUUGUAAAGCACUUUCAGUGGGGAAGAAAGCCUUGGGGCUAAUACCCUCGAGGAAGGACAUCACCCACAGAAGAAGCACCGGCUCACUCCGUGCCAGCAGCCGCGGUAAUACGGAGGGUGCGAGCGUUAAUCGGAAUUACUGGGCGUAAAGCGCGCGUAGGCGGUCUGAUAAGCCGGUUGUGAAAGCCCCGGGCUCAACCUGGGAACGGCAUCCGGAACUGUCAGGCUAGAGUGCAGGAGAGGAAGGUAGAAUUCCCGGUGUAGCGGUGAAAUGCGGAGAGAUCGGGAGGAAUACCAGUGGCGAGGGCGGCCUUCUGGACUGACACUGACGCUGAGGUGCGAAAGCGUGGGUAGCAAACAGGAUUAGAUACCCUUGUAGUC